Molecule: transfer RNA, 72 nt
Filed under: Lepidodinium chlorophorum
Lineage: Eukaryota; Dinophyceae; Gymnodiniales; Gymnodiniaceae
Description: tRNA-Lys
Rfam family: tRNA
About the family: Transfer RNA (tRNA) molecules are approximately 80 nucleotides in length. Their secondary structure includes four short double-helical elements and three loops (D, anti-codon, and T loops).
Source: RNAcentral
GGGUUAGUAGCUCAGUGGCAGAGCAACCAGCCUUUAACUGAUUUGUCAAGAGUUCAAUUCUCUUCUAACCCA